UUUCGCAAUGCCCGAAAGGGUGACGAAGCGACGCCGCGUGUGGGAAGAAGGCCUUCGGGUUGUAAACCACUGUCGGGAGUUAGGAAAUGCAGGUGCGUUAAUAGCGCACUUGCUUGACUAAGGCUCCAGAGGAAGCCACGGCUAACUCUGUGCCAGCAGCCGCGGUAAUACAGAGGCGGCAAGCGUUGUUCGGAAUUAUUGGGCGUAAAGAGCACGUAGGCGGCCUUGCAAGUCAGUUGUGAAAGCCUUCCGCUUAACGGAAGAACGGCAUCUGAUACUACAGGGCUUGAGUACGGGAGGGGAGAGUGGAACUUCUGGUGGAGCGGUGAAAUGCGUAGAUAUCAGAAGGAACGCCGGCGGCGAAAGCGACUCUCUGGUCCGAAACUGACGCUGAGUGUGCGAAAGCUAGGGGAGCAAACGGGAUUAGGUACCCCGGUAGUCCUAGCCGUAAACGAUGGGCACUAAGUAGAGGGGUUUU
Molecule: ribosomal RNA, 478 nt
Filed under: uncultured Planctomycetales bacterium
Lineage: Bacteria; Pseudomonadati; Planctomycetota; Planctomycetia; Planctomycetales
Description: bacterial SSU rRNA
Rfam family: Bacterial small subunit ribosomal RNA
Source: RNAcentral